ACGGUUUGGGACUCAGGAUGUGGUCAAGUGUUGUCAAGGCAUGUUCGGCGACAAUACUUGACCACAUUUUGAAUCCCAAACCACAU
Chlorocebus sabaeus (green monkey) is the source of this 86-nucleotide microRNA precursor. NCBI's taxonomy places the organism in Eukaryota, Metazoa, Chordata, Mammalia, Primates, Cercopithecidae. The record is from Ensembl.